This 262-nucleotide ribosomal RNA is filed under the name uncultured bacterium. RNAcentral's name for it is "partial 16S ribosomal RNA". It matches the Rfam family "Bacterial small subunit ribosomal RNA", at positions 1238 to 1500 of the family's 1533-position model. The record is from RNAcentral.
AACAAAGGGAAGCAAGAUCGUGAGAUGGAGCAAAUCCCAGAAAUAACGUCCCAGUUCGGAUUGUAGUCUGCAACCCGGCUACAUGAAGCUGGAAUCGCUAGUAAUCGCGGAUCAGAAUGCCGCGGUGAAUACGUUCCCGGGUCUUGUACACACCGCCCGUCACACCAUGGGAGCCGGUAAUACCCGAAGUCAGUAGUCCAACCACGUGAGGACGCUGCCGAAGGUAGGAUUGGCGACUGGGGUGAAGUCGUAACAAGGUAAC